This 1922-nucleotide long non-coding RNA is filed under the name Homo sapiens (human). RNAcentral's name for it is "HSALNT0146572". Lineage: Eukaryota; Metazoa; Chordata; Mammalia; Primates; Hominidae. The record is from RNAcentral.
AAAUGAAACCACGUUUAUUUAACCCAGGAGAUCUGUUACAGGAAUCAUCUCCUGGAUGCACCACACUCAAGUCAAAGCCUAAAAAGCUAAGGGAGCAACCCCUGAAAGCCCAGAGGAAAGUCCUGAAUCUCAAUGUGGAGAAAUAGAAGACCUUAGGCUGAAAAUCAUGAAAGAUAAGUAACUGGGGAAGGGCUGCUCAUCUUACUCAGUCCCACUGCUACCUCACCAGACUUUUUAUUAUUUCUGCCCUUCCCUCUCAAAAUUUGCCACCAAAUAUUAGAACUUCUUUUUAACACAUAUUUGCAGGGAGAAUUUAAUUAUACAUGGGAUUGCAUUUGUAACUUUGUAGCUUCCCAAAGAGAAAUGUUGUCUUGGCAAGUAAAGUUUUAAAUGGAAAUUAUUUACUACGUCACUCUCAUGGGAAUUGUUAUAGUCACGCUACUAUUUGCAAUAGAACUAUACACUAUGACACCCACGAUGUGGAAUUCUGGUUGUAAAAUUCUAAUUGCUGUAAUAUUUUGCCUCAUUAUACUUAGAGCAGGAUAAGUAGUUACAGGAAAGAUUUCGUCAAGGUUGUUUUGCUUACAGCAGGAGUAAUAGUUUUUACUAUCAUUAAGUUUGACGGGACUUUUUACCGAAGGUUGCUAAUGUGAUGCACUCUAAGCUAUGAAAAGGUUAUAGAGAAAGAGAUUUUAUAUAAGGAAGGAUCUUGUUUGGUAAAUUCUUGUCCUAAAAGGAAAUGACCGGUUGUUUAGAGAAAGAAUGUUUAGGACAAGUCAGAAAGUUUAAGUCUGUUGUAAGAGGGUCUGUGAAAGUCAUGAAAAAAUUUAAUAAUUAAAGGAAAGGAAUUGUCAAGAUUAAUGCCAAAGUUAUUUAGCCACCGAAUAAUGUAUCUCUCCCAAUCAUACUGCAAGUUAUAAAAAUUGCCUAAGCCUAAAGUUAUUCUCCAAUGGCAAGUCAAGGGGGAAAUGUAUGCUCUUCUCAAGGAAAAUGUUGCUUUUAUAUUAAUGUUUCUGGUAAUGUACAUAAACAUCUAGUGGAGGCAAACUGGUGUUGCAAUACAUGGGUGUAACUAACAAGAGUCAAAUUACACUGUUAGUUAUAGUCUAUAGGACCCCCACUAACAGUGAUAAUUUUAAUACUCAUAAUCCAACCCUAUAUUUUUAACCUUCUUGUAAAAUUUAUCUCUUUUCACCUAGAAACGAUCAAACUCAAAAUGGUGCUGCAAACAGAGCCCCACAUGGACAAGCCAUUCUUCCAAGUACCCUUAAAUCCACCUCAGGAGAAGACCCAACUGCUGUUCCCCGACAUGACGCCCCUUUUCAUCAGGAAGUAGCCAGAAAUAAUUGUCGUCCAACACCCACUAACAACAGUUAGGUUUACUUCUCUUGAGGGGGGAAUAAUACAGGAGUUAUUAAGAAAUAAUUCUAGGCAGAUAUAGAGGGUAAAAGUUCUUGAUAAGACUUUUUCUUUUAAUAAAAACAGCUCCCGAAACAUUUCUUUUCUAACAGAAAGGCGGUUUGGAAAGCCAGGCUGGCAAGUAUUAACAUGCUAAUGCUGGUGAUUAGAAACUAGGUCUAACCAACAUGGCCAGCUUGGUGAUUCUCACCCUUUUCUUGUCAGCACGUGUGCCAGGCAUCAUGGCCACCCCUAGCUAUCUCCACGGGUGCAGGACAUCUGGUGGCCUGCAUUUGCAUAUUAAGAGCCUGGGGUGGGAGGGUCAGGUUUUUCUGGGCUAUGUGAAAUACACACCUGGUCAAACCAAUCCACUGGGCCGUAUGCAAAUCAGACACUGCUUUCUCCAGCUUCCCAAUAUUACCGACCACUUUUUCGCAGCAGCACACAGGGUUUCUCUCUUGGGAACCCCGCUCCCUCUAUCUCUGUAGCGGGGAGCUUUUUUUUCUUCUUUCUUGACUAUUAAA